AGAUUAAGUUAUUAAGGGCGCACGGUGGAUGCCUUGGCACUAGAAGCCGAUGAAGGACGUUACUAACGACGAUAUGCUUUGGGGAGCUGUAAGUAAGCUUUGAUCCAGAGAUUUCCGAAUGGGGAAACCCAGCAUGAGUUAUGUCAUGUUAUCGAUAUGUGAAUACAUAGCAUAUCAGAAGGCACACCCGGAGAACUGAAACAUCUUAGUACCCGGAGGAAGAGAAAGAAAAUUCGAUUCCCUUAGUAGCGGCGAGCGAAACGGGAAGAGCCCAAACCAACAAGCUUGCUUGUUGGGGUUGUAGGACACUCUAUACGGAGUUACAAAGGACGACAUUAGACGAAUCAUCUGGAAAGAUGAAUCAAAGAAGGUAAUAAUCCUGUAGUCGAAAAUGUUGUCUCUCUUGAGUGGAUCCUGAGUACGACGGAGCACGUGAAAUUCCGUCGGAAUCUGGGAGGACCAUCUCCUAAGGCUAAAUACUCUCUAGUGACCGAUAGUGAACCAGUACCGUGAGGGAAAGGUGAAAAGCACCCCGGAAGGGGAGUGAAAUAGAACCUGAAACCGUGUGCUUACAAGUAGUCAGAGCCCGUUAAUGGGUGAUGGCGUGCCUUUUGUAGAAUGAACCGGCGAGUUACGAUUUGAUGCAAGGUUAAGCAGUAAAUGUGGAGCCGUAGCGAAAGCGAGUCUGAAUAGGGCGUUUAGUAUUUGGUCGUAGACCCGAAACCAGGUGAUCUACCCUUGGUCAGGUUGAAGUUCAGGUAACACUGAAUGGAGGACCGAACCGACUUACGUUGAAAAGUGAGCGGAUGAACUGAGGGUAGCGGAGAAAUUCCAAUCGAACCUGGAGAUAGCUGGUUCUCUCCGAAAUAGCUUUAGGGCUAGCCUCAAGUGAUGAUUAUUGGAGGUAGAGCACUGUUUGGACGAGGGGCCCCUCUCGGGUUACCGAAUUCAGACAAACUCCGAAUGCCAAUUAAUUUAACUUGGGAGUCAGAACAUGGGUGAUAAGGUCCGUGUUCGAAAGGGAAACAGCCCAGACCACCAGCUAAGGUCCCAAAAUAUAUGUUAAGUGGAAAAGGAUGUGGCGUUGCCCAGACAACUAGGAUGUUGGCUUAGAAGCAGCCAUCAUUUAAAGAGUGCGUAAUAGCUCACUAGUCGAGUGACACUGCGCCGAAAAUGUACCGGGGCUAAACAUAUUACCGAAGCUGUGGAUUGUCCUUUGGACAAUGGUAGGAGAGCGUUCUAAGGGCGUUGAAGCAUGAUCGUAAGGACAUGUGGAGCGCUUAGAAGUGAGAAUGCCGGUGUGAGUAGCGAAAGACGGGUGAGAAUCCCGUCCACCGAUUGACUAAGGUUUCCAGAGGAAGGCUCGUCCGCUCUGGGUUAGUCGGGUCCUAAGCUGAGGCCGACAGGCGUAGGCGAUGGAUAACAGGUUGAUAUUCCUGUACCACCUAUAAUCGUUUUAAUCGAUGGGGGGACGCAGUAGGAUAGGCGAAGCGUGCGAUUGGAUUGCACGUCUAAGCAGUAAGGCUGAGUAUUAGGCAAAUCCGGUACUCGUUAAGGCUGAGCUGUGAUGGGGAGAAGACAUUGAGUCUUCGAGUCGUUGAUUUCACACUGCCGAGAAAAGCCUCUAGAUAGAAAAUAGGUGCCCGUACCGCAAACCGACACAGGUAGUCAAGAUGAGAAUUCUAAGGUGAGCGAGCGAACUCUCGUUAAGGAACUCGGCAAAAUGACCCCGUACUUCGGGAGAAGGG
This 1748-nucleotide ribosomal RNA is filed under the name Staphylococcus aureus MUF256. Its description in RNAcentral is "bacterial LSU rRNA". It matches the Rfam family "Bacterial large subunit ribosomal RNA", at positions 1 to 1747 of the family's 2925-position model. The record is from RNAcentral. Lineage: Bacteria; Bacillati; Bacillota; Bacilli; Caryophanales; Staphylococcaceae.